Molecule: ribosomal RNA, 161 nt
Filed under: uncultured Candidatus Pelagibacter sp.
Lineage: Bacteria; Pseudomonadati; Pseudomonadota; Alphaproteobacteria; Candidatus Pelagibacterales; Candidatus Pelagibacteraceae
Description: partial 16S ribosomal RNA
Rfam family: Bacterial small subunit ribosomal RNA
Source: RNAcentral
GGGGAGGCAGCAGUGGGGAAUCUUGCACAAUGGAGGAAACUCUGAUGCAGCGAUGCCGCGUGAGUGAAGAAGGCCUUUGGGUUGUAAAGCUCUUUUGUAGGGGAAGAUAAUGACUGUACCCUAAGAAUAAGGUCCGGCUAACUUCGUCCCAUCAGCCGCGG